RNA transcript from Patella vulgata (common limpet), 10729 nucleotides. It is a transcript of the gene named probable splicing factor, arginine/serine-rich 6, with no coding region annotated. The record is from RefSeq and is a predicted model, not a curated record. The transcript is spliced from 7 exons. NCBI's taxonomy places the organism in Eukaryota, Metazoa, Mollusca, Gastropoda, Patellidae.
CUUACAUGCGAUGACCUGUUGCAAAGAUGGCGGCGGAAUACGACAAAACACAAGGUGGUUAUCGCAUUUUUAUUGGAGAUUUAGGACACAGAAUUGGUAAAUUUGACAUCGAGAAAGAAUUUGAGAAAUACGGACCAAUAGUCGACACAUGGGUUGCAAGAGAUCCUCCAGGCUUUGCUUUUGUUGUGUUUAAAUAUGGUGACGAUGCUGAGAAAGCUGUCCGAGAUCGACAUGGAAGAUUGGUUUGUGGAAGAAGAGUUCGAGUGGAACACGCCCGACCAUUUAGUGAGAGAAAGAAAGAGUUGAACAACACUGGCUCCAGCUACGGGGGUGGUGGUGGCGGUGGUAGAUCGUCAUAUAAUCGUUAUGGAGGGGGAGGAGGAGGGGGAGGCGGUGGAGGAGGAUAUUACAGGCAACACUUCGUUACCAAACCUAACUUCUUACCAAAAGGGGAGAUAACUCUACUUCACUACCAAAACUAUCACACUACUACUACUGCUACUCCGCUACUUGUCACAUAUUGAACAGUUUUACACUACUGUCGAUACAAACCAAAACCACUCAUGAACUCUGACCUAGCCACGAACUUUGACCUAACCAAACAGUUUAUAACCAUAAGCUUGAACAGGACCAUGUUUUUCUCGAAUUCCCGAGUAAAAAGUGUCGCAGCCAAACUGUAAGACAGGUUUGAGACACGUGUAUGAUGGUGAUGCAUGACAUUUCCUAAUAAGGGACAACUAUUCAACGAGGAGACGUUACAGUCGUUCUAGAUCACGUGAAAGGAGGAGAAAAAGGUCUUAUUCUAGGUCCCGAUCUCGAUCUGGGGACAGGAGAAGACGGUCAAAGAGAAGUCGCACAAGAUCUCGAUCAACAUCAAGAAACAGAUCUGGAGGGAGAAGAGAUUCGGGUUCAAAAAGGUCAAGGAGCAGAAAAUCUAGGUCAAGGUCUGGUGACAAGAAGUCAAGGUCACGUGACAAGAAGUCAAGGUCAGGAUCGCGAGAGAAAAAGUCAAGAUCGCGUUCAAGGUCAAAUGACAAAGAACGACAUGAUUCAGAGGACAGGGCAAAAGCUCGCAGCCAAUCAAAAGAGCGGGAAGGAGGAAAUGAAGGUGACGAUCAUGAAAAAGAGGGUUCGACAAAUGGCGAUCACUAUGAUGAAGAGGGCGUGGCCAAUAUAAAUAUGUCCGAAUUUAUCGAUGUUAAUGAUAUCACAAAAGGUGAUGAUGGCGAAGGAGAGGAAAAUGUUGAAGAUGAAACACAACCGCCAGAACUUCAGCCAGAAAGAGGUCCAACUCCAGAUCAGACAAUUCAGACAGAAAAUAUGGAGGGAGAUUGAGCCUACCUUUUUACAAAAAACCCCAACAAACUUUUUCGUUCAUUUCAGUUAUUAUAUAAUGCCAUUUAAAAACUUACAUGCAAAAAAAAUUUGUCUUGAUUUGUUACGGAUGUGAUCCUUGACAGGAUAAAAUUUGGGUUCCUCACAAAACCUAAUAAAAGACAUUUUGUGGCUAUACAUACUCGCAAUACUGACGUAACUUGAACGUCAAUCUGAUUAGGAUAUGGAUUUAAAUUUCAUUUGCUUUACACUUUCGAUGACCUCGAUACAAUAUAGAUCUGAUGAGAAGUGAAUUUAGGGUUGCUACAGGUGAGCUUUGACUGAAUGGCGUUGGGUAUUAAUAUUAAUUUAAUUCUACUUUCAUUUUGUUUUCAACUGCUCAAUAGCUGACUCAUGAUGUCCACGCACACGUACAUUGCACAAAGCUUUCCGAAAAAAACAUUUUCAUUGGGUAAUUCCCCACAUCAAAUAGAUUGUGGUUUGGUAUAAAAACUCUUCCAGAUCCUCGUACAAAUAAAUCAAAUUUGUAGAUAAAUUUAGAAAGGCAGGUGAAAUAUUUUCUGUGUUAAUCAGAUUGGUUGGACGUAUUGAGUAAAUGUAUGACAUCACAAACCUUCUAAUGCCAUUUUUUUGUAAAAUUAGGCCGUGUUGAAUUGAUUCUAUGUUUCUCCUCGCCCGCGAGCUUAGGUUGAGGAUAUCGAAAAUUGUGCACGAACCUUUUUAACACAAAAAAAAAUAUUUAAAAAAAAUUACGGUAAUAACAUCGAAAUAAAAUUCUACCAAACAUCAGAGAAGUCAAUUCUCGUUGUUUACUCCUGAUGCCAUUUUUUCAUGAAAUAAGAUGUGACUUCCUCCAUUGAUGACAUGCCAAUUGAGCAUUAUUUUAGACAACGCGACAAAAUGGCUGAAUUCACAUUUCUUUAUACAAUAGAUCUAUAUUUAGUAACUUAAUUGUUAUUUGUAAAUUGUCAAGCUAAAGAAAAAAUUAUCUAAAAAUAAAUCCAAUAGACGUACGUUAUUAAAUGUUUGAAUUGGUUUUAUUUUAAUUUAUUUAAACAUCAUUGACCUUCUGGUGAGAUAUUUUACGAAAGACUAUCCAGAUUUAAGCUCCAACGCUUUAGCUUGAUGUGUUACUAUUUAAUUACUCUGUACUAUGUAUGUAUAUAUAUAUAUAUAUAUUUAUCACCCAAUAAUACAUUCUACAGUAGAUAUCGCUUGUGUGAUAAAUUUCAUAAUCUACUGCGAUUUACAUGAAUUUGAUUGAUCAGUUGAAAAGGAACUACUUUUUUUUAUUUUCAAAGAACAGUUCAUAUUUUAUUAAAAGUAACUUCUUUUUUUUUUUUAUUAAAAAUGAACUAUUUUUAUUAAAUUGAUGAAAACACUGUGUCAAUAUAAAGGACUUUGCAAUGGUGGAAUUGCUGUCAAAAACUGAUGUAUCACUACGCCGUAAUGUAAUCAGGUUCAGUAAAUGUGAAAUCUAUAGCAAAGAAUUAUAUUUAUUUGUGCAUGUAAGAAAGGAUUGGGUGAUAAAUAAAAUCUUCUACUCGUCUUUUUUGAUAUUAAAAAAUAUCAACACAAGUCGAUAAAGUAAAAAAAUCGAGGCUUUGAUAUCAAAAAAGACUCGUAGGAGAUUCUCUAUAUAUAAAUUUGUAUAAUGGGGCCCUGGUGUAUUUUCAUACUCACAUAGUGUCUUAUCUUUUACAUGUUGUAUUUAACAUUGUAUUUAUUACAUUGUAUGUGACGAUGUUCUUGAAAACGUAUUGUAUCCACUACCUAAAACAUUGUAUAUGACCAUGUUCUUGAAAACAUAAUGUAUCCCACUAUCGAAAACAUCCGUGAAAAUAACGAUUUUAGUUGUCGACUAAAUGACAUUUCUACCUCGUUAAAAAUAUCAAGCUGAUUAAAACACAGAUCCUAUUUCGUUCGGGGGGGGGGGGGGGGGGUGGAUGGCUGAAUGGUUAGCGUGUGCGCGCUGUAUCAUAAAGUCUGUCAUUGGGUUGUCUGGCGUGGUUUCGAAUCCCCUGUUGUACGUGACAAGGAGUAGGAUCGCCUGUCCAACCUCGUGGGUUUUCUCCGGGUCCUCCGGUUUCCUCCCACUGCUAAAGACCCCUACGCGCAAUAUAAUUAUUGAAAUUUUAGUCCCGAAAUGACCUAUUUUGUGUCGAGUGGACGUUAAACCCCAUUUCUCUCUCUCUCUCCCUAUUUCGUUCGGAUGGGACAAAAAAACGAGGUCCCAUGUAUAGAUUGUCGUGCACAUAAAUAAGAGAUCCCUUGGCAGUUCGAAUUCGAUAUAAGAGUAGACCAUUAUUCCGCUGACCAGGCAAAAUUUCCCCCAAAGCACACUGUAUGGUGUAUACCUGUCUUCAUUAGCCCAGUCGGAGCAGAAAAGUAGGACGUUAAAUCCCAUUUGAUUUCAAGUUAUAUAACCCGGGUUCUGGAUAGUGUGAGGGAUUAGCCAAUGAAAUGUUCUGUUACGGCGAGUUUUUGGCGUGAGGUGCACAGAACUGUGGGUAACCCACUAGAAAAAUCAACGCUGAUUGGUUAAUCAAAUGUCUAACAUCAUGGUAUCAAAAGCCACUCAUAUGACCCCUGACAUGACCUUCCACUACAACCAGUCAAAUCGUCAUUUAAUGUAGGCCAUCGAAAGAAUAAAAAUAUGAAACAAAAUAUAGAUCUGUAUUUUAAUCAGAUUGUAAAAAUAUCAAUAUAGAAAAAUGAAAUGUGUGCAUGAACUCCAUAGGAAUUCUGUGGGAUAAAGCCUGAAUUUGUGUUUUAAAUAUGACCAGUUUCCAAGCUUGGUCUGGUACCUUGACAAGUUGACAGCUUGAGGGAACAUGUUUCUGGGACUAACAUUUACAAUUACUACGACCUGUGAUCUGUUUCCAAGCUUUUUCUGGUAUCUUGACAAGUGUUUAGUUGGCAGCUGAUGGGAACAUGUUUCUGAGACUAAUAGUUACAAUUGCUACAAAUAUCAUUGUAUUCAUUCAUACAUAUUUUUAUUUUAAUUCAUGUUUUAUAGUGGAAGUAGAGGACAUGUUUACAUCCAGUUAUAUAAUCACAUACACAGAGAUGUUUAUUGUUUUUUUAAAUCAAUACUUCAGGUUCUAGUUUUGUUAAUAAAAGUUGUGGUCAUUUGAUAUUUGAUACUUGGUACCACCUGGGAUAUCCAUUUACAUGUAUAUCACUUAUUGCACUUUAUUAUUGAAAUUUGUAGUCAUAGUAAUAAUAAUGAUAUGUAUUUAUAGAGAGCUUCAUCCAUCGAAGGUAUAAAGGUGCAUGCUAUAAGCAGGGUAAUGAGUCAGGGGUUACUGUAGCUAAUACAUCAUAUGUGUCUGAAGUCUAGAUUUAAACUGAGCAGUCGAUUCUGGACACUUUAUCCCAGCUUGUAAGUUGUUCCACUAUCACGGAGCAUAUACACUAUAAGAGCUUUAUCACAAAUGAUUUUAAUGUAGAUAAUGGUAUAACAAGAGCAGGGGUCUUAAUCAAGCAUAAAAGGAACUGGCCAGAAUUCGGUCAAAUGAGUUCCUGGUAGGAAAUGGGUUAAUUAUAAGCUUUAAUAUAUCCAGACUUCAACAUCAAUAAUUCUUGGUAAUUGGUUAUGGAGAAUGUCAUUUUCUAAUGUAUGUGAUUACCUCAAAAAUAACGACAAAUCGGUACACCUUUUGAAAAUUUUCCAUAUUUAAUAACAAGCGAUAGUUUAAGAAGGAGAAUUUGAUACAUAAUGUUUAACAAGUUCAGUAAGAUACGACAGAGUUGAAUCAUGCUGAGACUGAUAAACCAAUGAUAAGAAUUUAAAAUUGAUCUGGGCCUCUAUUAAUAGCUAUUGUAGAGAUUUUAAGGACAGGUGUUAUAUAUAGAUGUUUCAAAUGUUCUUGUAAUGAUUCUGGCACAGUAAUAAAUGUUGAUAUUUUCCAGAGAUAGGGCACUAUUACAGAAAUCCAAUUUUGAAAAGCACUAACACUUAAUAAAAUAUCUACAUCAUCAGUUUUAAAAUCGGUUAUUUUAAGAAAAGUGCAUGUAGAAAAUCUUGGCAAUUCUAGCAGUCAGUUUAAACUGGUUUCUUUAGUUGUAGUAAGAAAGAAACAUACAAAUAAAAGUUAAAAAUAUAUUUUUACAUACUAAAGAUGUAUUGGUGUAAAUAAAUGUAUAAUCAGGCCUGGAAAUAACGGUUCUAGAUGUACCUGACAAAAUGUCAGGCACUAAUAAUGAAAUAGCACCUGACAUUUUCAACUUAGUGCCGGACAUGGUAUUAAUAAUAUCAAUAAAAAAAGACAAAUCAAUGCUGGACAAAAUGACAGGCACCAGAGGUUUUGUGCCUGACAACAUGAUAUCACCCACCAGAGGUUUUGUGCCUGACAAAGUCUGAAUCUGUGCCUGCCAUUGUCUGUGAUAGGUGCCUUAUUUCCAGGCUUGUGUAAAAUAUUAUAAAACUGGUAAAUACUAGUAUUAGUCAUCUAUGUAUCGAUAUUUUUUAUAAAUAUACAUGUAUAUAUACUGCUGAUCAAUCAUUUAUCUACUGGCGUUAUUUCAUAAUAUAUCCUAAUUAAAAUUUUAUUGACAUUUCAUUUUAAUGGUUUAGAUUUUCUACUGUACUAUCUAACAUAUAUUCAGAAUUACGCUCUGUUUGAUUGUCUUGUGUUAUGAAGAGUUAGUUUUAAUGCAUGCCAUAGUCGAUCGAUUAUUACCAUGCAGCAAUUCAGUUGAUUAUUACCAAACAAUAAGUCAGUCGAUUAUUACCAUACAAUAAGUCAGUCGAUUGGUACCACACUAUAAGCCAGUCGAUUGGUACCACACUAUAAGUUAGUCGAUUAUCACUGCACAAGACUAUAAAUGUUGGAUUUCAUUUAGAAGUAAAGAAUAUUUUUGUUUAUGCAUGCCAAGGUCGAUUGGUUAUUACCAUACAAUAAGUCAAUUGAUUAUUAACAUGCAGUAAGUCAACCGAUUAUUAUCAUAAAAUAAUUUGGUCGAUUAUCACCACAUAAGACCAUAGAUGUUUGAUUUCAUAUAAAUUAGUACCGUAAACAUGUAUGAAUCAAUUAUCACAAUACAAUAUGAUAGUCGUUUAUCACCACACAAGACUAGAUGUUGGAUUUAAUUUAAAUUGAUAUUGUAUAUGAAUUGGUUAUCACAAUGCAAGAUGGUCGAAUAUUACCACUCAAGAGUAUAGAUGAUCGAUUUCAUUUAAAUUAGUACUGUAUAUGUAUCGAUUAUCCCAAUACAAAAUAGUCGAUUAUCGCCAUGCAAGAGUAUUGAUGAUCGAUUAUCUCAAUACAAGAUAGUCGAUUAUCGCCACACAAGAGUAUUGAUGUUUGAUUUCGUUUAGAAAUGAAGUAUAUUUUUGUUUAUAUAUUGUUUAAAACUGCUGUCAUAUUAUAUGUAUUGUAUAUCACCAAACACUGUAACCCGGGUAUCAUUUAAUCUUGUGUAUGUAGCACUAAUUUCUUAUAUAAACUAUUAAUUAGUUAUUUAUUAAACAUGAAAAGACCGUAAUCAACUCUCGAUGCCAUCUUAUGUGCCAGAUUUCCACUGGAUUUGAAUCCGAUCUGCUGCUCAAUGCUCAUUGAGUUUUUAAAUUCAAAAAUGGUUAAUCAAGACUAGGCUUAAAAUUCAAUUGCUAAUAUCUUGGUUCAGAGUGGGGCAAUUUGACUGAAAUUUCAGCAUAUUCCCUUACAUCAUCGAGUUUUUAACUAUUAUAUUGAGAACUGCCAGCUCUUUAUCUAAUGUUCCAUAAAGCCCCUUUAAAUGAUACCCGGGUUACGGUGAAUAGAUUCAUUAGUUCUGUCUCGACAUGAUUUCAGUUAUACAUCUAGAAAUCAAACAUACUAACCAAAUACAUUGUAGUAGUGUUCAUAUAUUUUAUUAAAUUUAAUAUUUAAACAAAUAGAACCGGAUUUCAUUUCAGUCAAAAUAAAGUGUUAAAUUGAAAGUGUUAAAUUUAAAGUUCAUCACUGUAAUAACAUAGUUUAUACGAUUGGCCCAUAUUCCCCAGUGCACCAGUCAUUGUUUUUUUAAGGCGAGCCAUCGCUCUCAAGCGCCUGCCUCUCACCUGAAUGUCAACCGAGGGAAGGUUUUUCUCCCUCUCCUUAAAAUUGAAAAUCGUUCUCCUUUACAAAGUCAUGGAGGGUUUAUUAUCAUUUGUGAAUCCAGGAGACCCCUUAACAUGCAAUUAUUGAUCUUCAGAAACAUUUCCCAGACACACAAUUAAUCACUCUACUUAAUAUCAGAUCACUCUCCUUAAUUUCUAAAUCACUCUUCUUAUCGAAACUGGGAAAGCUUUUUUAGGGGAGCGAUUUUUUUCAAUUUGUUGAUUAAGGGGAGCCUUUAUCGGCUCUCCUCUAAAAUACAAACAACGACUGGUGCACAAAGUUAAUUAAUUACUGUUUGAGAUGUGUCUAAUAUAACCUUACAGUCUGUAUGACAGGUGCCUUAUUACCAGGGGGUGUUGAAUGGCCGAACGGUUAGCAUGCGCGCUGUAUCAUACGGUCUGGCAGGGUUUCGAAUCCCCUGUUGUACGUGACAAGGAGUAGGGUCGCCUGUCCAACCUCGUGGGUUUUUUCUCCGGGUCCUCCGGUUUCCUCCCACUGUUAAAGAACCCUACGUGCAAGUGAAUUAUUGAAAUAAAAUUGAACCAUGUGUUAGUCCCCAAAUGACCUAGUUUGUGUCGAGUCCUCCCUUUAUUACCAGGUUUGUUUACAUUACAAUCUAAUUAAAACACAGAUCCUCUUUCAUUUUGUUUUUUAUAGUUCAAAAUUUCGUUUUACUUGUCUUUACUACACUAGGGUCUGUAAGAGUUGUUAUAUAACUCGCAUUCUGGAUGAUGUGAGGGAUUGGCCAAUGAAACGGUCUGUUACGGCGAGUUUCUGGCGUGAGGUACACGAAACUGUGGGUAACCCACUAGAAACAUCAAUGCUGAUUGGUUAAUCAAAUUUCUGACGUCAUAGGGUCAAAAGCCAUUUGUACGACCUCUAACUUGACCUUCCACUACAACUGGUCAGACCUUCAUGUAGUGUAGGCUGUCGAAAGUAUAAAAAAACGAGACGAAAUAUAGAUGUGUAUUUCAAUCAGAUUGUAGGAUUAGGUGAUAAAUAAAGCUCAUAUUCUACAAGUUAAGAUUAGUCUUUAGGCAUUGUUUUUAUUCCUUAGCACUUGGCCAUGGUUCAUGUAACUAUCGACUCCCCACAGCUCCUUGUAGAAAUUGUGAGACGAGUGUUAAGCUUAUACCUGUGUAUCCCUGGACAGUCUCAAAUCCCCUGGAAUGCCCAAAACUGUCAGAGAUUGUUAGAUCUAUUUGAUAAGGCCAACUUCAAGUUUGGUCAAAGGUCACGAGAUGUAAACAGGGCUAGUGCUAAUCCUAACUCCUAGACCAAGCCCUUAUGCUUACCCUAACCGUAACUGGAAAUGGCCUGACAAAUUGACCGGCAUCAAAGGAUUGUGCCUGACAGUUUGUGUGACUUAUUACCAGGUUAGAUUUGCCUUUUGGAUAUAAAUUGAAUGGAGUUUAAUGUCCAAGGAUUAGGGUCGCUUGUCCAACAUCUGGGUUUUUUUUCCGGUUUCCUUCCCUAUACCUGCAAGCGAAUUAUUGAAAAAAAUCGAACUAUGUUCUGGCCAAUAAACUUUUUCGGGAUUUCCAGCUUGUCGGUGGGAUUGGCAAGGAAAUUGGGAAGCAUCUUGACUUGUGACGGCUGUAUUUUAUUUAGCCAACGUGUGUACACUAUGCUCAGAUAAUUGUCAUUCUGGUAUUUUCAAAUUAUAAGUAUUGAAUUAUCAACACAAUUCUGGAAUUCUUGGAAUCUUUUUUCAAUUUCAUUAGCUUAGAAAAUGUUAGAUAUCCUGAAUGACUAGAUUUAUCUCUUAAGGCCAACUUCAUAUUUCGUCAAGGUUGUCGAGAUGUAAAUAAGGUUAGGGCACCAUGAUUGUUGGUGAGAUUGUUGAUUAGGGUAAGGGUUAGGGCUAGGUCCAGCAUUAGUGCUAGCCCUGUUUCCAUCUCGUAACCUUUGACCAAAUCUUGAGGUGGCCCUAAGAAUUAGACCAAACAAUCCUGAAAUGACCUGUUACCUUGAUGAUAAGAUAGCAUUGAUGAAACAGUAUUUGUUAGACUAGAAUAUCCAGUCAUUGUAAAUGUGUUAUUCUAUUAAUGAAACAGUAUCUGUUAGACCAGAAUAUCCAGCCAUUGUAAAUGUGUUAUUUUAUUUAUGUGUUGUAAUUAGAUGCAAAUUAUGUUCGUAGUUUUUAUUGAUUUAUUGUUUAAAAAUGUUCGGAAAAAUUCCUAUUGAGUCUAAUAGUGUUGAUCUCUUUGAUCUUUGUCAAAAAAAAAUAAAUUGUCAAUUUCAUUGGAUUUUAUUUGUAGAUUUAUUUGUUCUAAAAUAUUUAUGUACAUUGGGUUCUAAAAAUGAAUAAUUUGGAAUUAACAUUUUCAACUGUAUUUAAACUGGCUAAAGAUUCACACUUCUGGCCCCGAGUUCACAAAGCACUCUCAGACUUGAAGUUCAGAAUUUACUCAUCAUUGUUGGCCUUAUUUUAACUAAAAUAAAACUCUUAAUAAAACUUUUGUUUUAAUGCAUCAAAUAAAUCAAGAAGAAACUGUGUGCAAAGUUUUGUGAACUCAGUGCCAGAUAUAAUGUUAUUCAUUUUAAGAAAAAAUGUAUUUAGUUUCAAGUUUUAAAAUUCUUAUUGAUAAUUAAUAAUUUCAGUUAAGAAAAUUUUCUUAAUUAAAUUCAUGCAGUGAAAAUAGAAUAUGAAUUUUAUGUGAAUAGUUAACUAUAGUUUGAAUCUUAUUUUUUAUGAUAUCUCUGAUAAAUGCAGUUGUGGCCCCUGGACCUUCUUCCAAUUUAUGAUAUAAAGACCUCAGGUGUACAUCUGUGGAUCUUUUGUCCCCUGAAGAUGAUACAAAGAAAGAUCUUGGGUUAACACUUGUGGGUCUUAAACGUUCUCCUGUAUAUGAUACAGAGAUCUCAGGGUUUUGCUUAAAGGACAAUAUUGGUGCCAGUCAUUAUCACAUAUGUGAUAGAGCUGGUUAAACACAUUCCAAAUAUAAUUUUAACACCGAGAUCAUUGCUACGACAGCUGAGUAAUACAGGUUUCCUGAAUCGGAAGUGACGAACGCCAAAGGAAAACACGAGUCAUACCUCUAUAUAACUGACUGAUGUGACGAGUGAUAACAGAUACACGGUCGAAUUUCUGCUCACUAAUAAUUCCUUCCAAGACCAAAAGUUGUUGUGUGAGACUGUGAGAGGAUAUGUGAUAAUGACUGGCACCAAUAUUGUCCUUUAACAACAUUUAGAGUUGCUUAGGUUUUAAAGGAGCUCAAUCGCUAUUCUGUGGCACUUAGAAAUGGACAGAAAUGGGUUGCAUGUAAUAAUGUAAUAUCAAUGUAUAUAAACUGAUUUACAUUCAA